RNAcentral lists this long non-coding RNA (262 nucleotides) under Lathyrus oleraceus (garden pea). RNAcentral describes it as "Pisum sativum (pea) long non-coding RNA (PSAT_LNC033788)". Lineage: Eukaryota; Viridiplantae; Streptophyta; Magnoliopsida; Fabales; Fabaceae. The record is from RNAcentral.
AAGCCAUUCACUUGAUCAAUUGAUCAAGAUGAAUUAGAUUUGAAUCAAGGAAGAUUAAGUCUCCCUAAUCAAUGCUAACUUAUCAACCUUCAACUCAUUGAUCAAAAAAAAAAAGAAGAAGAAGAAAGAGAUGCAUAAUGGAAAAGGAAAUGGAAAGAAUAAAGUGCAUAAGAUGAAAUAAAUGUACCAAUCCAUGUAUGUUGACCAAAUGACAUUGAAAGUCAAAGUCAAACAAUGAGAAAUCAGAAAUGAGAUGAAGAUU